Molecule: non-coding RNA, 45 nt
Filed under: Schistosoma mansoni
Lineage: Eukaryota; Metazoa; Platyhelminthes; Trematoda; Strigeidida; Schistosomatidae
Source: RNAcentral
GUCCAGAUGAUGAAUCCCAAAUAAAAAGAAACGUACGUCCUGGAU